AAACCUAACAAAGCAAAGUGCCAGACUCAGGGGAUCCCCAGGACCUGGACAAGCUUCAGCCUUUUGGGGUUCUUCCCCAGCCCACACUCUGCUAUUGAAGCUUGCAGCUGAGGUGAAGGAGGACCUAGAUGUUAAAGAUGGGGCAGUGAAGCCAGAGUGCCUGGGCUCAAGCGAUACCUGUGUGACUUCAGAUGAGUGAGUGUGGAGACCUGGCCUUCCGUCCCGUUACCACUUCCCCUCUGGGCCUCGGUGCCACACGGUUCUUGCCCUGCAUUACUGGAUGUUGAAUCCAGGGCCUUCAGACAAUGCCAGGAAUUUGUUGAAGGAAAUUUAUUGAAGACAAUGAAGAUUUGUUUAUCAGGAUAUUCAUCUUGGCAGGUAAUAGCCAAAAAAAAAAAAAAAAAAAAAAAAAAAAAAAAAAAGGAA
RNAcentral lists this long non-coding RNA (426 nucleotides) under Cavia porcellus (domestic guinea pig). RNAcentral describes it as "lncRNA (ENSCPOG00000032745.1)". Lineage: Eukaryota; Metazoa; Chordata; Mammalia; Rodentia; Caviidae. The record is from RNAcentral.